Molecule: small nuclear RNA, 196 nt
Organism: Malaclemys terrapin pileata
Lineage: Eukaryota; Metazoa; Chordata; Testudines; Emydidae
Product: U2 spliceosomal RNA
Exons: 1
Source: RefSeq, a predicted model, not a curated record
AUCGCUUCCUGGCUCUUUGAGCUGUGGUCCAAGUGUAGUAUCUGUUCUUAUCAGUUUAAUAUCUGAUAUGUUCUCGAUGUGAGAACUUUAUAUUAAAUGGAUUUUUAGACAAGUUAGAUAUUUUCAAGUCACCAGGGCCUGAUGAAAUGGAUCCUCGAAUACUCAAGAAUCUGAGUGAGGAGUUAUCUCAAUCAUU